GUAGUACUCCCUCCGUUCGGAAUUACUUGUCACAAAAAUGGAUGUAUCUACAACUAAAAUACAUCUAGAUACAUUCAUUUCUUGGACGAGUAGUUCCGAACGGAGGGAGUAUGUA
Non-coding RNA from Triticum urartu, 115 nucleotides. NCBI's taxonomy places the organism in Eukaryota, Viridiplantae, Streptophyta, Magnoliopsida, Poales, Poaceae. The record is from Rfam.